AAGAUACAAAGUCCACCACAAGUAUGACUACUUGUGCAAAGCUGAGUCUUUAAAUGCUAUCAAUGGUGCUUCACAUCUGAGGAAUGGACCUAAGGCCACUUGCAAGGUUGAUAUUGAAGUACCUCAGACUUGCAGUUUCAUCAUUCGCACUACUGGCUGUAGCCUGAGCGAGGUGGUUGACAUGGAUGCAGAGGGCAACCCUGUGUUUAGUCCUGCACCCAGCUCUUAUGUCUUUGCUGCUGAAAUGGAGAGAUAUCCUCUAAAGCUUGUGGUUGAUGGUGUGUACGAUGUGAAACUGUAUCCUGAGGACGGUGAGACAGCCACAAUUAUGAACAUCAAAAGGGGCAUCAUCUCCGCGCUGGCUGUGCCUUGACUGGAAGAAGACAAAAAUAAGAAUAUGAC
Etheostoma cragini (Arkansas darter) is the source of this 402-nucleotide long non-coding RNA. RefSeq lists it as uncharacterized. Lineage: Eukaryota; Metazoa; Chordata; Actinopteri; Perciformes; Percidae. The record is from RefSeq and is a predicted model, not a curated record. The transcript has 3 exons.